Molecule: transfer RNA, 88 nt
Filed under: Thermoleophilia bacterium
Lineage: Bacteria; Bacillati; Actinomycetota; Thermoleophilia
Description: tRNA-Leu
Rfam family: tRNA
About the family: Transfer RNA (tRNA) molecules are approximately 80 nucleotides in length. Their secondary structure includes four short double-helical elements and three loops (D, anti-codon, and T loops).
Source: RNAcentral
GUGUCCGAGUGGCGGAACUGGCAGACGCGCUAGGUUGAGGGCCUAGUGAGUGCAUAACUCAUGGGGGUUCAAGUCCCCCUCGGACACU